This 659-nucleotide ribosomal RNA is filed under the name Hygronemobius amoenus. RNAcentral's name for it is "bacterial SSU rRNA". It matches the Rfam family "Eukaryotic small subunit ribosomal RNA", at positions 1144 to 1804 of the family's 1831-position model. Lineage: Eukaryota; Metazoa; Arthropoda; Insecta; Orthoptera; Trigonidiidae. The record is from RNAcentral.
UUAAAGGAAUUGACGGAAGGGCACCACAAGGCGUGGGGCCUGCGGCUUAAUUUGACUCAACACGGGAAAGCUUACCAGGCCAGGACACCGGAAGGAUUGACAGAUUGAGAGCUCUUUCUUGAUUCGGUGGGUGGUGGUGCAUGGCCGUUCUUAGUUGGUGGUGCGAAUUGUCUGGUUAAUUCCGAUAACGAACGAGACUCUCGCCUGCUAAAUAGUCGCGUUCCGGCAUCCUUGGUCGCAGCCGGCGAAAUCUUAUCUUCUUAGAGGGACGAUCAGCUUCUAGCUGAACGAGGAGGAGCAAUAACAGGUCUGUGAUGCCCUUAGAUGUCCUGGGCCGCACGCGCGCCACACUGAGGACAACAGCGAGUGCUUUCCUCGCCCGAGAGGGCCGGGUAACCCGAGGAAACGCCCUCGUGCUAGGGAUUGGGGCUUGUAAUUGUACCCCACGAACGAGGAAUGUCUAGUAAGCGGGUGUCAUAAGCACCCGCUGAUUAUGUCCCUGCCCUUUGUCCACACCGCCCGUCGCUACUACCGAUUGAACGAGUUAGUGAGGUCCUCGGACCGGCGCUCGGACGGUUCCUCGCGGGCCGGCCGACGAUCGCCGGGAAGACGACCGAACUUGCUCGUUUAGAGGAAGUAAAAGUCGUAACAAGGUUUCC